UGGACAACAUUUGCUUAAGUUUGUUUUUAAAUUUGGGAGAUACUUUAAGAUUAAAACGUCAAUGGGAUUGGAAUGAUCAAACUCCGCGUACCCCAAUCCCAACACCAACGACAAGGAGGUCUACAACAACAUCUACAACAUCUACAACACCUCCUACAACAACAUCUACAACACCUCCUAAAACAACAACUGAUGGAAAACCACCAUCAAUUUGUGUACCAACACCUCCGCAAGAUGUUUAUUGUUUGGACAAUCAAGAAAUUAUUCCAGAAUGUAUAAGAAAUUGCCUUGCACAUAUCAUAGAUCAAUAUAACCCAGUUUGUGGGACAGAUGGCUGUAAUUAUCGUAACAAAGGAAGGUUGAAUUGUGCUGUAAGAUGUUGCAAGAAAGACAUCAAAGUUAAUUAUGAAUCAGUUUGUUAAAUAUAGCCGGGGAUGAUGCAUCGUUUAAAACUAUGAUAUUAUUUUGUACUUUUAUAUUUCUCGUGUUGCUUUAAACGUAUUUAAGUUGAAAUUAUAACACUAAUUUUUUAAAUAAACAAUUUAUUCACUUA
Molecule: unclassified non-coding RNA, 553 nt
Filed under: Onthophagus taurus
Lineage: Eukaryota; Metazoa; Arthropoda; Insecta; Coleoptera; Scarabaeidae
Description: uncharacterized LOC111428490, transcript variant X3
Source: RNAcentral